Long non-coding RNA from Tripterygium wilfordii, 752 nucleotides. RefSeq lists it as uncharacterized. The record is from RefSeq and is a predicted model, not a curated record. The transcript has 2 exons. NCBI's taxonomy places the organism in Eukaryota, Viridiplantae, Streptophyta, Magnoliopsida, Celastrales, Celastraceae.
CAUCGAACCUUAAACACACAUAUGUCUAACCCAGUCAAUUGUCAACCUUAAAAGUAAGACUAUUUGCACCCCACGGUUUACUAACGGCACCCCAAUUUCUCGCCAAAAAACACAAUCUUACAACACCCCAUUUAUCCCUACCAUGAAGCCUCAAAUCCUCUCAAACAUUGCCUCUCUGUUUUCAUUCAUUCACCAGAAACCCAAACCCUUGUUUCAUCUUCGUUUGCGACGGAAGGAGAAGGAGGUGGUCCGACAAAGGUGAGCGAAUUCAAGAAGAUUGGCCCAAAUCAUCGUUUCAUCACACGCUCGAGCUCGCUCAGGGAGUAAGACGACCCCAUCACCAUCAUCACGUAGCCGAGCUCCGACAAUGAGAUCUUGCCUUCGUCGUUGGCCUCAAAUCGGCUGAAACCUUCUCAAGCUCUUCCACGUCAGGGAGAUUUGAGCAAGAGUUGGGGAACUCAUACCCGUUGGCAUUGAGAAGGUGUGGAUGGAUUUGGUGUAGUUUUGAGGGAGUUGCAGAACAAGAAAAGCGGCACCUACAACUUGCAGAUCUAGGGUUUGGACUGGGGUGCAGUUUGUGUUGUUACUCCAAAUCAGAAAAAGGGGUGCACUACAUAAUCUUAUAUUUUUAAGUGAGGUGUAUUGAGAUUGGGUUGUACUUAGCAAAUUUUGGGGUGCAUAUAAUCGUACUUCAAUCUUAAUUGUUGUUGUUGCAUGUUGACAAUCACAGCAAUAAAUUUAUCUUGACUUGA